GGGUUGUGAGGUUAAGCGACUAAGCGUACACGGUGGAUGCCCUGGCAGUCAGAGGCGAUGAAGGACGUGCUAAUCUGCGAAAAGCGUCGGUAAGGUGAUAUGAACCGUUACAGCCGGCGAUGUCCGAAUGGGGAAACCCAGUGUGAUUCGUCACACUAUCGUUAACUGAAUACAUAGGUUAACGAGGCGAACCGGGGGAACUGAAACAUCUAAGUACCCCGAGGAAAAGAAAUCAACCGAGAUUCCCCCAGUAGCGGCGAGCGAACGGGGAGCAGCCCAGAGUCUGAAUCAGCUUGUGUGUUAGUGGAACGGUCUGGAAAGUCCGACGGUACAGGGUGAUAGUCCCGUACACCAAAAUGCACAGGCUGUGAACUCGAAGAGUAGGGCGGGACACGUGGUAUCCUGUCUGAAUAUGGGGGGACCAUCCUCCAAGGCUAAAUACUCCUGACUGACCGAUAGUGAACCAGUACCGUGAGGGAAAGGCGAAAAGAACCCCGGCGAGGGGAGUGAAAAAGAACCUGAAACCGUGUACGUACAAGCAGUGGGAGCACCUUCGGGUGUGACUGCGUACCUUUUGUAUAAUGGGUCAGCGACUUAUAUUCUGUAGCAAGGUUAACCGUAUAGGGGAGCCGCAGGGAAACCGAGUCUUAACUGGGCGUUAAGUUGCAGGGUAUAGACCCGAAACCCGGUGAUCUAGCCAUGGGCAGGUUGAAGGUUGGGUAACACUAACUGGAGGACCGAACCGACUAAUGUUGAAAAAUUAGCGGAUGACUUGUGGCUGGGGGUGAAAGGCCAAUCAAACCGGGAGAUAGCUGGUUCUCCCCGAAAGCUAUUUAGGUAGCGCCUCGUGAACUCAUCUUCGGGGGUAGAGCACUGUUUCGGCUAGGGGGUCAUCCCGACUUACCAACCCGAUGCAAACUACGAAUACCGAAGAAUGUUAUCACGGGAGACACACGGCGGGUGCUAACGUCCGUCGUGAAGAGGGAAACAACCCAGACCGCCAGCUAAGGUCCCAAAGUCAUGGUUAAGUGGGAAACGAUGUGGGAAGGCACAGACAGCCAGGAUGUUGGCUUAGAAGCAGCCAUCAUUUAAAGAAAGCGUAAUAGCUCACUGGUCGAGUCGGCCUGCGCGGAAGAUGUAACGGGGCUAAACCAUGCACCGAAGCUGCGGCAGCGACACUAUGUGUUGUUGGGUAGGGGAGCGUUCUGUAAGCCUGCGAAGGUGACCUGUGAGGGUUGCUGGAGGUAUCAGAAGUGCGAAUGCUGACAUAAGUAACGAUAAAGCGGGUGAAAAGCCCGCUCGCCGGAAGACCAAGGGUUCCUGUCCAACGUUAAUCGGGGCAGGGUGAGUCGACCCCUAAGGCGAGGCCGAAAGGCGUAGUCGAUGGGAAACAGGUUAAUAUUCCUGUACUUGGUGUUACUGCGAAGGGGGGACGGAGAAGGCUAUGUUAGCCGGGCGACGGUUGUCCCGGUUUAAGCAUGUAGGCUGAUUGUCCAGGCAAAUCCGGAUAAUCAAGGCUGAGGUGUGAUGACGAGGCACUACGGUGCUGAAGUAACAAAUGCCCUGCUUCCAGGAAAAGCCUCUAAGCAUCAGGUAACAUCAAAUCGUACCCCAAACCGACACAGGUGGUCAGGUAGAGAAUACCAAGGCGCUUGAGAGAACUCGGGUGAAGGAACUAGGCAAAAUGGUGCCGUAACUUCGGGAGAAGGCACGCUGGUGUGUAGGUGAAGUCCCUGCGGAUGGAGCUGAGACCAGUCGAAGAUACCAGCUGGCUGCAACUGUUUAUUAAAAACACAGCACUGUGCAAACACGAAAGUGGACGUAUACGGUGUGACGCCUGCCCGGUGCCGGAAGGUUAAUUGAUGGGGUUAUCCGUAAGGAGAAGCUCUUGAUCGAAGCCCCGGUAAACGGCGGCCGUAACUAUAACGGUCCUAAGGUAGCGAAAUUCCUUGUCGGGUAAGUUCCGACCUGCACGAAUGGCGUAAUGAUGGCCAGGCUGUCUCCACCCGAGACUCAGUGAAAUUGAACUCGCUGUGAAGAUGCAGUGUACCCGCGGCAAGACGGAAAGACCCCGUGAACCUUUACUAUAGCUUGACACUGAACAUUGAGCCUUGAUGUGUAGGAUAGGUGGGAGGCUUUGAAGCGUGGACGCCAGUCUGCGUGGAGCCAACCUUGAAAUACCACCCUUUAAUGUUUGAUGUUCUAACGUUGGCCCCUUACCGGGGUUGCGGACAGUGUCUGGUGGGUAGUUUGACUGGGGCGGUCUCCUCCCAAAGCGUAACGGAGGAGCACGAAGGUUAGCUAAUCCUGGUCGGACAUCAGGAGGUUAGUGCAAUGGCAUAAGCUAGCUUGACUGCGAGCGUGACGGCGCGAGCAGGUGCGAAAGCAGGUCAUAGUGAUCCGGUGGUUCUGAAUGGAAGGGCCAUCGCUCAACGGAUAAAAGGUACUCCGGGGAUAACAGGCUGAUACCGCCCAAGAGUUCAUAUCGACGGCGGUGUUUGGCACCUCGAUGUCGGCUCAUCACAUCCUGGGGCUGAAGUAGGUCCCAAGGGUAUGGCUGUUCGCCAUUUAAAGUGGUACGCGAGCUGGGUUUAGAACGUCGUGAGACAGUUCGGUCCCUAUCUGCCGUGGGCGCUGGAGAAUUGAGGGGGGCUGCUCCUAGUACGAGAGGACCGGAGUGGACGCAUCACUGGUGUUCGGGUUGUCAUGCCAAUGGCACUGCCCGGUAGCUAAAUGCGGAAGAGAUAAGUGCUGAAAGCAUCUAAGCACGAAACUUGCCCCGAGAUGAGUUCUCCCUGAGACUUUAAGUCUCCUGAAGGAACGUUAAAGACGAUGACGUUGAUAGGCCGGGUGUGUAAGCGCAGCGAUGCGUUGAGCUAACCGGUACUAAUGAACCGUGAGGCUUAACCUUACAACGCCGAAG
Molecule: ribosomal RNA, 2923 nt
Filed under: Klebsiella pneumoniae
Lineage: Bacteria; Pseudomonadati; Pseudomonadota; Gammaproteobacteria; Enterobacterales; Enterobacteriaceae
Description: 23S ribosomal RNA
Rfam family: Bacterial large subunit ribosomal RNA
Source: RNAcentral